AUUGAACGCUGGCGGCAGGCUUAACACAUGCAAGUCGAGCGGGGUGAUGGUGCUUGCACUAUCACUUAGCGGCGGACGGGUGAGUAAUGCUUAGGAAUCUGCCUAUUAGUGGGGGACAACAUCUCGAAAGGGAUGCUAAUACCGCAUACGUCCUACGGGAGAAAGCAGGGGAUCACUUGUGACCUUGCGCUAAUAGAUGAGCCUAAGUCGGGUUAGCUAGUUGGUGGGGUAAAGGCCUACCAAGGCGACGACCUGUAGCGGGUCUGAGAGGAGGAUCCGGCACACUGGGACUGGGACACGGCCCAGACUCCUACGGGAGGCGGCAGUGGGGAAUAUUGGACAAUGGGGGGAACCCUGAUCCAGCCAUGCCGCGUGUGUGAAGAAGGCCUUAUGGUUGUAAAGCACUUUAAGCGAGGAGGAGGCUCUUUUGGUUAAUACCCAAGGUGAGUGGACGUUACUCGCAGAAUAAGCACCGGCUAACUCUGUGCCAGCCGCCGCAGUAA
This 503-nucleotide ribosomal RNA is filed under the name uncultured bacterium. RNAcentral's name for it is "partial 16S ribosomal RNA". It matches the Rfam family "Bacterial small subunit ribosomal RNA", at positions 30 to 523 of the family's 1533-position model. The record is from RNAcentral.